Molecule: ribosomal RNA, 864 nt
Filed under: uncultured Neocallimastigales
Lineage: Eukaryota; Fungi; Neocallimastigomycota; Neocallimastigomycetes; Neocallimastigales
Description: partial large subunit ribosomal RNA
Rfam family: Eukaryotic large subunit ribosomal RNA
Source: RNAcentral
UCAGACGAUGCGUCAUGCAUAUCAAUAAGCGGAGGAAAAGAGGGCUAUUACCUACGCUUAGGAUGUUGACGAGACUGUCGAUCUCAUCUAUACAUGACUCUGUGCAUAUCAAUAAGCGGAGGAAAAGAAACUAACAAGGGAUUCCCCUAGUAACGGCGAGUGAAGCGGGAAGAGCUCAAAUUUGAAAUCUUAAAGGGUUUCCCUUUACGAAUUGUAGUUUAAAGAAGUGUUUUCUGUUGAGGUUUUGGUAAAAGUUCUUUGGAAUAGGACAUCAUAGAGGGUGAGAAUCCCGUAUUUGACCAUUUACUUUCAGCUUUGUGAUACACUUUCAAAGAGUCGGAUUGUUUGGGAAUGCAGUCCAAAAUGGGUGGUAAAUUUCAUCUAAGGCUAAAUAUUGGCGAGAGACCGAUAGCGAACAAGUACCGUGAGGGAAAGAUGAAAAGAACUUUGAAAAGAGAGUUAAACAGUACGUGAAAUUGUCAAAAGGGAAGCGUUUGACACCAGUGUUGUUUUUCUGAAAAUCAAUUAAAGAACUGUUUAUGCUAAGUUGUUUAGACUUUAUCAGCUAACUGUUUAGUUUUGAGCUUUUCUUUAAUGCACUUUUCAGUUAACAAGUCAACAUCAAUUUCUUUUGCUGUAAAAAAGCUUGAGGAAGGUGGCUUGAGAUUCGUCUUAAGUGUUUAUAGCCUCUUGCCUAUGCAGUCGGAGAGAUUGAGGUCUGCAGCGUAGAUCCUUCGGGGCUAAAUGCAUUUGUGCUAAGUUAUAGCAUUUUAUAGACAACUUGUUGACUAUGAUUUAGUCUUGUAGCUUACUCGCUUAUGCUAUUUUACCUACGCUUAGGAUGUUGAAGUCAUCGUAUCGCGC